UGUAUAUAUGAAAUAACUUCUUGGGUGAUGAGAUUGAAGUAUUCCAGGCAACACUUGCUCUUAUAAGCAUGAGCCCCUCCAUGAGGAUCACUCAGUUUCAACAAGGGAGAAAGAGAAUAAAGCUGAAGAACUAAGCCAGAAAAGAGAAAAGAGAUAGAAGCAAGAUGGAAGAAGGCACGUGCGGCAUCACCUCGAAACGGGGAGUUGACUAAGGUUACCUCAGACGAUGAACCCACUGAGUAAGUGUUCUCCUCUAUCUAAGUCCUAUCGAUAGACUUUAAAUUCUGUACCCUAGCCAUAAGGUUAGAAUGGUAGUUAUCUCUUUGAAUGCAUUUGUAAUUUAUUUAGUAGCAUAAUUUUGUUUACACACUAAACGAUAUAAAAACAACAAAAAUAUCAUUACUCAUGGCAUCACAAGCCCCAUGUGGAUACUCUAUGAAGGAACAUCCGCCGUGGUGGCAUAAAAUAAAAAUGACAAAAAUAUAGCAUUCAUAUUUAAAUUCCUGCAUCAUAAAUAGAAAAUUCAAAAAUAAAAAAGAGAAAAUUUAAAAUCAUGUUUAAAUUAGACAACAUUAAAGCUAGCCCAUUAACAAAUUCGAGCCUCAAGUUUUGGUUUUCUUUUUGGAGUGUAAUCAUGUAGGAACAACAUUAUGACAAGGAAAGAGUCUAUUAGUGGCACCCACCUGCGCUGCCGGUUAGCUCACUCUAAAGAUCAUCAACACCAACUAUUGUAAACAUCUAGCUUGGGGGAGGAGCAUCCCCUAGUUAUCAGGUAACUAUAUCUAGGCGAUUAUCGAGUCUAUUUUAUAUAGUCAUAAAAUACCAAAAAUAUGUGAGCACAUGAAGGUUCACAAUAGUAUCAUAAGAAAAUAUAAAAAUACCAAUAGUACAUGGGCACAUGAAGGUCCAUAUCCUUAAAGUCUUUUG
Molecule: long non-coding RNA, 927 nt
Filed under: Sorghum bicolor (sorghum)
Lineage: Eukaryota; Viridiplantae; Streptophyta; Magnoliopsida; Poales; Poaceae
Description: long non-coding RNA (SBIC_LNC015690)
Source: RNAcentral